RNAcentral lists this ribosomal RNA (253 nucleotides) under uncultured bacterium. Its description in RNAcentral is "partial 16S ribosomal RNA". It matches the Rfam family "Bacterial small subunit ribosomal RNA", at positions 524 to 776 of the family's 1533-position model. The record is from RNAcentral.
GACAGAGGUGCCGAGCGUUAGGCGGAAUCACUGGGCUUAAAGCGCGUGUAGGCGGAUUUGUAAGUACCUUGUGAAAUCCCACGGCUCAACCGUGGAACUGCUUGGUAUACUGCUUAUCUUGGGUCAUCUAGGGGCGAGCGGAACAAACGGUGGAGCGGUGAAAUGCGUAGAUAUCGUUUGGAACGCCAAUGGUGAAAACAGCUCGCUGGGGAUGUACCGACGCUGAGACACGAAAGCCAGGGGAGCGAACGGG